GGACGAACGCUGGCGGCGCGCCUAACACAUGCAAGUCGAACGAGAGAUGAAGAGCUUGCUCUUCAAAUCGAGUGGCGAACGGGUGAGUAACGCGUGAGGAACCUGCCUCAAAGAGGGGGGACAACAGUUGGAAACGACUGCUAAUACCGCAUGACGCAUAGAGGUCGCAUGAUCUUUAUGCCAAAGAUUUAUCGCUUCAAGAUGGCCUCGCGUCUGAUUAGCUAGUUGGCGGGGUAACGGCCCACCAAGGCGACGAUCAGUAGCCGGACUGAGAGGUUGAACGGCCACAUUGGGACUGAGAUACGGCCCAGACUCCUACGGGAGGCAGCAGUGGGGAAUAUUGGGCAAUGGGCGCAAGCCUGACCCAGCAACGCCGCGUGAAGGAAGAAGGCUUUCGGGUUGUAAACUUCUUUAAGAGGGAAGAGCAGAAGACGGUACCUCUAGAAUAAGCCACGGCUAACUACGUG
Molecule: ribosomal RNA, 467 nt
Filed under: uncultured bacterium
Lineage: Bacteria
Description: bacterial SSU rRNA
Rfam family: Bacterial small subunit ribosomal RNA
Source: RNAcentral